UCUGGUAAUGAUGGCAGAGAGGUCACACCCGUUCCCAUACCGAACACGGAAGUUAAGCUCUCUAGCGCCGAUGGUAGUUGGGACCUUGUCCCUGUGAGAGUAGGACGUCGCCAAGC
This 116-nucleotide ribosomal RNA is filed under the name Acinetobacter baumannii. Lineage: Bacteria; Pseudomonadati; Pseudomonadota; Gammaproteobacteria; Moraxellales; Moraxellaceae. The record is from RNAcentral. RNAcentral also lists the same sequence under 36 other names.